Molecule: ribosomal RNA, 462 nt
Filed under: Nocardia beijingensis
Lineage: Bacteria; Bacillati; Actinomycetota; Actinomycetes; Mycobacteriales; Nocardiaceae
Description: bacterial SSU rRNA
Rfam family: Bacterial small subunit ribosomal RNA
Source: RNAcentral
GACGAACGCUGGCGGCGUGCUUAACACAUGCAAGUCGAGCGGUAAGGCCCUUCGGGGUACACGAGCGGCGAACGGGUGAGUAACACGUGGGUGAUCUGCCUCGCACUUCGGGAUAAGCCUGGGAAACUGGGUCUAAUACCGGAUAUGACUUCUGGUCGCAUGGCUGGGGGUGGAAAGAUUUAUCGGUGCGAGAUGGGCCCGCGGCCUAUCAGCUUGUUGGUGGGGUAAUGGCCUACCAAGGCGACGACGGGUAGCCGGCCUGAGAGGGCGACCGGCCACACUGGGACUGAGACACGGCCCAGACUCCUACGGGAGGCAGCAGUGGGGAAUAUUGCACAAUGGGCGAAAGCCUGAUGCAGCGACGCCGCGUGAGGGAUGACGGCCUUCGGGUUGUAAACCUCUUUCGACAGGGACGAAGCGCAAGUGACGGUACCUGUAGAAGAAGCACCGGCCAACUACGUG